This 484-nucleotide ribosomal RNA is filed under the name uncultured bacterium. RNAcentral's name for it is "partial 16S ribosomal RNA". It matches the Rfam family "Bacterial small subunit ribosomal RNA", at positions 30 to 507 of the family's 1533-position model. The record is from RNAcentral.
AUUGAACGCUGGCGGCAGGCCUAACACAUGCAAGUCGAGCGGAUGAAGGGAGCUUGCUCCUGGAUUCAGCGGCGGACGGGUGAGUAAUGCCUAGGAAUCUGCCUGGUAGUGGGGGAUAACGUCCGGAAACGGGCGCUAAUACCGCAUACGUCCUGAGGGAGAAAGUGGGGGAUCUUCGGACCUCACGCUAUCAGAUGAGCCUAGGUCGGAUUGGCUAGUUGGUGGGGUAAAGGCCUACCAAGGCGACGAUCCGCAACUGGUCUGAGAGGAUGAUCAGUCACACUGGAACUGAGACACGGUCCAGACUCCUACGGGAGGCAGCAGUGGGGAAUAUUGGACAAUGGGCGAAAGCCUGAUCCAGCCAUGCCGCGUGUGUGAAGAAGGUCUUCGGAUUGUAAAGCACUUUAAGUUGGGAGGAAGGGCAGUAAGUUAAUACCUUGCUGUUUUGACGUUACCAACAGAAUAAGCACCGGCUAACUUCGUG